UUAUUUGUGCUAGCGGAAAAACAACAGCACAGAUUGAAAUCAAACGAGAAAGAUAUGAUAAAUUUAUUCCUCAAAACUUACAUUUGGAACGUCAGAAAUCUAAGCAAAAAGCGGAAAAUAUGUGUAAGAGUUUCAAAGCUGAAUGUGAAAAUGAUGAAUGUAAAUAUUGCCAGUGUAUUGAAGAGGAUAGCAACACAUUUCUGCUGUUAACUCCUACCACAGGCAAUUGUACUAAAGACCAAGAUAUCAUACGUGAUUCAGUACCAAAUGAAAAUUUUUUUCUUCGAAAUCAAAAUUACGGUAAAUGUCUUACGGUAAAUGGAAAUCGGACUGAAAAAGUUUCUGGAACGAAUUGCAGCUCGUCUCUAAAUAUGCGUUGGAUAUGGUUAAAUGAAACGGGAAAAAUCCAACUUAUGAAUGUUAUGUCACUCCAGUGUCUUGAAUUUGUCAAGUCUUUGUCUACAUGUUCGCAAGAAGGAAGAUGGGUUAGCCAUUCAGUAGUUAUGAAGCAAUGUGAUAGAACCAAUCUGCAUCAGCAAAUAACACUGAAGACUGUGACAAAUUAUAUAUUUACCAAAAUGUGCAGCGGCCAAACGAAUUUUUACCUUCAAAUCGAUGAACGCAGUAAGAGAGCAAUAAGUAAGACACACACCGCGGGACAGACUUGGAAAAACACGGAUGAACAUCUGAACUGGAAAACAACUAUUUACAGAGGUUGUUACCGUUUUCAAAACCAAAAUUUCAUGCUUUAUCUGGACAAAGACAAUUGCUCUAAGCCAUGUACUCGAAAUUUUUCUGCCCCAAUCUUCUCUGAG
Long non-coding RNA from Dendronephthya gigantea, 815 nucleotides. RefSeq lists it as uncharacterized. The record is from RefSeq and is a predicted model, not a curated record. NCBI's taxonomy places the organism in Eukaryota, Metazoa, Cnidaria, Anthozoa, Malacalcyonacea, Nephtheidae. The transcript is spliced from 3 exons.